This 21-nucleotide small nuclear RNA is filed under the name Arabidopsis thaliana (thale cress). RNAcentral describes it as "snRNA_08811". Lineage: Eukaryota; Viridiplantae; Streptophyta; Magnoliopsida; Brassicales; Brassicaceae. The record is from RNAcentral.
UAAGACAAAAGCUCAAGGCAG